Molecule: long non-coding RNA, 1954 nt
Organism: Carassius gibelio (silver crucian carp)
Lineage: Eukaryota; Metazoa; Chordata; Actinopteri; Cypriniformes; Cyprinidae
Exons: 3
Source: RefSeq, a predicted model, not a curated record
GCGUCGGACUGGGGGGGUAAAGGGUACCGAGUACCCAGGGCCCGAGGUAGGGGGGGGCCCUUAAAAGUCAGUUUUCUAUACAUACAUAUACAUGCACUAACAUUUGUAUAGCAUUUAUGUACAAAUAAAAAAGUUCCUGGGCAAAAUUAAACUUGUAGUUAGGCACUGGUUUGGUAUAACAAAGUCAUUUUCAUUCUGUGCAGGGCCCCACCACCCCUCUCGAAUCAAUGUAAAUGAUACGACCCGCAGUUCAUGUGCUUCAGCUGCGGACCAGCGGUGAAUCAGUUAAUGAGACGGGAGCAUAGACAGUAAAAUAAGACAGGAGCUGGAGGUAGCCAUGAUAUGAACUAAGAAGACAGGGGAAGAGUCAUGUCUUUCCUUAAGAAAGGAAAAUCAGGGGCUCAGAAACGAAGAUUAAAGAGAGAAAGGCAAAUGAGGGCAAGCAGUUGCUCACUCAGUAUUUUGAAAAGAAAGGUGAGCUCCAAAUGCAUAAUCGAGCAUUGACAUUGUUUUAACAUAAAUGUCUACUCUUGGAGGAGUUCUCCCCAGAGUCAGAAGUUUACAUGAAAACACUGUAUAUUUCCCUCCAUUGUCAAAAUCUAACACCUGCGAAAACACAGAUCGUUAGCGCCUAUUUUACCGCAUUGUUAUGCAAAUUAGCUCGCGCACGCUCAGGAUUGUUAUCAGUUUAAUGCACAUCUUAUUGAUUGAAAAUUACUUAUUGUAAAACGUAAAGACUGAAUGUCUAGUUUGGUGGUUAGUGUACCCUGUGAUUCUAUAGUCUGCAUUUAUUUUAAACAGACAUAUAAUCAGCAAUUAACUUGUACUUAGCCUACACUUUAAAAAAAAGGUAUUAUGACAAUAAAGGAUAUUUUAGCAACCAUUUGAAGCCAUAUAUUUCAGUUUCAGACCCUGUAGCAGCAGGCCCCUCAUCAUGGCCAGGUGAAAGCAGUGACAGUGAAGUGGAUGUGACAGUGAGACAAGAUUUCUUCCCUUGCGGCUGUUGGGGCUAUGACACAAAACGUGUCACGUGGAAGUGGAACAUCCUUUCCCGCAUGUUCCAGGAUGACGUUGAGAGAAGGGUGUGAAUGGGGAAAAAAGCAUUCAGCCAGAUGGAGUCCAAGAAGUUCCUCAUGUGUGCUGUGAGAAAGAGCCAUGUAUCACGUGCCGCCACUGAUGAAGAAAUCACAGAACACACAAUACAGUGGGUCAGCCUGGCAACUGAUAGGAGAAGCUCAAGGAACGUCCCACUGUGAGCACCCAGCAGUAGAGUUCUUCAGAGCUUCAUUGUUACCUUCAGUGUUUUGAACAGUUACAAUAAAAUAAAGGUACAAGGUUACUAUUUUAGAUAAAUGUUUUUUAAUUGUUUUUGUUUUUAUUCAAAGAAUCAACUUGUUUUUAUUUUUCUAUUCAAAGAAAAUUAAAUGAAAUCCAGUUUCUAAAAUAGAGCUUUAUAGAGCAAUCCAGUCUAUCUGAUGUUGGUCCAUUUAGAUUUUAAAUAUUUCUGUGUAGCGAGUUGUGGCCAGAAUAUCCAGGUAUCCAGACCAAAUGAACCACUUAAUAAGCGGGUCCAUAUCGGAUCCGCGGCGGAUCCGGUGCUUCAUAAACGGGUCCAGAUCGGGUCUGCGGCGGAUCCGGUGCUUCAUAAACGGCUCCUGAUCAGAUCCGCGGCGGAUGAACUUCCUUAUCGGCGGACACGGGGCAGGUCUGCCCCGGAUCUGAUCUGAAACGACAAUCCUUAUCUGUUCCGGAUCUGCUGCUCUGUGCAAGUAGACUCCGUUCCGGACCUGUUUUGCGGAUCCGUUCUGGAGCUUGUGAUACCUCUGGGGCGGAUCCGUUGCGGAGUCAGUUUGCUAUCUGGGAAACCAUGGCUAACAGUCAGAUUUAGCCGUAUAUUUAUGAUCCAGAAUCAGAUACCGAGGUUGAAAUUGAACAAGAGCAGCAGCAGCAACGA